This 6596-nucleotide long non-coding RNA is filed under the name Sus scrofa (pig). RNAcentral's name for it is "lncRNA (ENSSSCG00050068459.1)". The record is from RNAcentral. Lineage: Eukaryota; Metazoa; Chordata; Mammalia; Artiodactyla; Suidae.
GUACAAAAAUUGUAUACAUGAUUUGAAAUGAAAUUAGUUCAAAACCUAGAUACACUGUCCAUAUUCGGGGGUAAAAAUUGACAUGCUAAUGAGAUUUAACUAAUUUAACAUAGUGAGAACCUUAUUUAGCUCAAUUUGUUUAGAUCAUAAACAAGUUAGACAUUAAAUAAAUGUUUUGAUGUUGGCAUUCCAUGAAGCAAGCAUUUAGACAAAGUAAUUUAGUGGCUUUGUACUGAUUGCUAUAUUGCUGUGACUCAGGCAUAUCAAGAAAUUGAAUCCCCUUAGUACCUACGUACAUACCUUCAGCAUAUUUAAAAGAAGCCAUCAUGAGUUGCUUACCUUUUUGCUUCUUUACAAAAAUACCUCAUUGUUAUGGAGGUUAACUAAAAACGCUAUCAGAUAUGACUGCCGAUAAGAAAAAUAUUGAUAGACAAAGGCAAAGAAAAUUUAGAAAGAAAUAUUUCUAAAAUACUUGGAUAGAAUGUCCCCAACUUCAUCUGACCCUGUCAUAGAUUCCACUCACCAAGAGGCUUACCAAUUUCCUAAAGAAAAUUAGGAAAGAGGUAAAAUACAGAGUCACUGCUGUGAAUGGCUGCUAGGACAGCAUUACUGCUAUGGCAGAGAUCAUCGAUACUACUUAGAAAUGAAAGAGCCUACUUUUCACUUUAGAUGAUUUAUAUGCCAAAAAUAUUCUUGGCUAUAGGAAUGUGAUGUCAAGAAGCUGAUGACAGCAUUUGAAAAUGUGAAUUGAGGCUCAACAUGAUCUUUUAGCAGCCAGGUUGCUGGUUGGAAAAUUAACCAAUUUUCUUUCUUUUUUAAACACAUAUAAUGUCCUUAGUUAAAUAGCUAUAGGUUACAAAUGGUUUAUGUAGGACUUAGCUUAUUUUAAAAAAUCUAUUUCAGGAAUUCCCGCUGUAGCACAAUGGGAUCAGUGGCAUCUCUGCAGUGCUGGGACACAGGUUCAAUCCUCAGCCCUGCACAGUAGAUUAAGGAUCCAAUGUUGCUGCAGCUGCAGCCUAGACUGAAAUGACAGCUCAGAUCUGAUCCCCGGCCUGGGAACUCCAUAUGACACAGCGAGGCUAAAAAAGAAAAAAAGCAAUUUCAAAGUAUAAACAAAAUAAUCUUUUUUUGGAUUAUUAUCGUUUACAAUGUUGUGCCAAUGUCAUGCUGUACAGCAAGGUGACCUAGUCAUGUUAUUUUUCUCGUAUUAUCUUCCAUCAUGUUCUGUCUUAAGAAAUUGGAUAUAGUUCUCUGUGCUAUACAGUAGGACCUCAUUGCUUAUCCAUUCUAAAUGUAAUAGUUUGCAUCUCCUAACCCUAAAAUCCCAGUCCAUCCCACUCCCUCUCCCUCCUUCACAACCACAAGUCUGUUCUCUGUGUCUGUGAGUCUGUUUCUGUUUUGCAAAUAGGUUCACUUGUCCCAUAUUUUAGAAUCCACUUAUAAGUGAUACCAUAUGGUAUUUGUCUUUUUCUUACUUUACUUACUUUGAGAAUUUCUAGUUGCAGCAGCAAAUGGCAUUAUUCUGUUCUCUUUAUGGCUAAGCAGCGUGUGACCACUGAUGAUAUAGAGAUGAAGGAUGAUUUCCAAAAUCAAAGAGUAUAAAGAAGGCAGAGGAAGAAUUUAAUAGAGCAUUUGCUACAUCACGGUAUAGAUAAGCAUGAGGUGCUAGCAGAAGCAUUUUAAAUGGGACAUCCAAAUCAGCUGGGAGUAAGGAGCCAGCCCAGAAGGUUUACAAAAAGGGAAGUUUCUUGCUAUAAUCUCUGAAUAGUGAGUUGGAUGAUGAAGUAAAUGGAGGAAAGGUAUGCUUGGCAGAGGAAAAAUAUUUGCAAAUGCAUAGUCAUGAGGGUGCGUGGCUCAUGAAGGGAUAUGCAGGCAGCUCUGAAUUGCUAGAAUAUAUAACACUGUGCUGGGGUGGCAGGUAGACAGGGAUCAUAUGGCAUGCUAAGAAAUUUAUUUUCUGCUCAUCUUUAUUGCAACAUAAUCGCCUUCUUUAGUAAAAAACAAACAAACAAACAAAAACAAAAGGGAUAGAUUUCAGAUAGAUCCCAGACAUAGCUCUAGAAAUACUUUACUAUUGGAUAUGAGGGAAAAAAAAAAUUGAAAAACAUACAGCAUUUCAGACUGACCCUAGCAAAGUUGCGCCACAUUAGCAAAUCAUUUGGCUAAUGAAUUUUGUUUGAUCUGUUUGUAGACUUCCCACUGACCACAAGAGCACUCAAACUGUGUUGAGACAGGACACAUCUAUCACAAUCCCUGGGGUAAUCCUUGCUUAUUUAGCGGCACUCCAUUUCUCUUUCCUGCUCUCCCUCCCCAUCUCAUGCUUUAGGGCCCCAUAUUUUCUGAAAAUUCUGCUGGAAUGUGAGUCCAGUGCCAGUACAUCUGGGGAUCCUUAGUAAUGAAUGAGGGCCUUAAAAGAAGCAGCAGAAAUACAGAGGAGCAUACUUUUUGCACAGUCUGGAAAGACCAAUGGGAUGAAGGGGAAGUGACUUAAGUCCUGAGAUAUGCUUUCAUUUUUUUCAUCUAGUCACAAAUCUGACCUCUCCUGCACUACUGAGAAUGCCCUGGUCACCACACCAAGCAGAUGUCUGAAAUGUGGGUGGUAUGGGGGACCAAUGUCUUCUAUGUGUUUUCUUUGCGACUACUAACACGUUAAGUAUGUUAUCACUAGAUGUACCACAUUUCCGAGGCUGAGAUCUGGACACUAAGGUCACACAAACCAAAGAUGUGUCAUCUAGAUCAUAAUUUCCUCCCUUUCCAAUCUUCUAGCAAAGCAUUUAAGUAUAAUUUUUGAUAGAAAUAUAUCAUAAGCCAAUGAGUAUGUCUUUCUCUAUGCCUUGAGGUUCAGUAGACAAAAAUGUUCUUUGUCCUUUGUGUGCUGACCUUCCCUUCCUUCUACCACACAAUAAUAAUUUAAAUUUGUUCAUGGGGGUAGGAGGCUGAGAAAACCACGUGUGUAUUGAGAUAUUGAUUAUUUUUUGGAAAAGUGUUGUAUUUUAAUAAACAACAUGUGGUCAUAUAAUUGCUAUUAUCCAACGCUAAAAAUAAGAAUACUCUCCAAGUUGGGGCUUUUCAACCCAAUCGUCUUGUGAAUGCCUGAAAUAAAUGAGUAACCCUGGAUAUUGUAAUUUCAUCUGUCAGGAAGUCAGGCAAUAAUUCUCCCAGAUUAACCCUAUGAUUAUGUUAGAGACUCUGAGAGUGCUUCAAAUUCUCUCAAACAUUGUCCCGAUAUGUGGAACUCAGAAAUAACAUCCUAAGUGUACUUAGAGUGCUCUUUGUAUGAAGAAAUUUUUUGCGAGAUCUGGUUUAUCAAGUGAACAUUCCAAAUCAAUAAAAAUGAAACAUGGGCAUGAAGCAGAGAUCCCUACUUAUUUUAUGCAUCAUAUAAAUAUCAGCUUAAAAUUCCUAGAGAAGAGGGGUUCCCACUGUGGCACAAUGGGAUCAGCAGCAUCUCUGCAGCACCAGGACACAGGUUUGAUCCUCACCCUGGUACAAUGGAUUAAAGGAUCUGGUGUUGCCACAGUUGCAGUGUAGAUUGCAAUUGUGGCUCAGAUCUGAUCCCUAGCCUGGGAACUCCACGUGCUUCAGGGCAGCAAAAAAAUGAAAAAUUAUGAAUAAAAAAUUUUAAAAAUACCUAGAGAAGGAAUCAAACUAAAAAAUGGGAAAGAAUAAGGAUAGUAAAAUAACUGAUUAUGUGAGAUAAAUCCUAUUCCUUUCUCUUAGUAGCAGAUAAGCUUAGCAACUUAUGCAAACUUAUUUCUCACUAACUCAUCCAAAUCUCAGGAGUUGAAGCCCUUCAUCCUGUUGCAUGUAUAACCUGCAUCUUAGCCCUUCCAUCUCUCAGUAGCAUAGAGUAUCAUUAUUCUAGUCCAAGACUCUUCUCAGACUUUCUGUUUAUUUUCCUCUAAGACAGAAAUAAAUUGAGUUACUUAGGUGGAGUUCAGAGUUUGAACUCUGAACCACCUCUUCCUCCUACUUUCCUAAUCAAAAUGUUCCUUAGGUUUUGAUUCAAUCUCUGUGGCUAUUGCUACUGAGGAAACCUCUUGCUCCAACCUUCUGGGUGGUUUUUUGAGAUCAUGCUUCAUCUCAAAUGAUUUCUUUUCCUCCUUCUCCACACCUGGAGGAUAAAAUGCUGCCUGCCUUUUUUAUGAUUCUAAAUUUAAAUGGUAACAUUUUAUAUUUUCAAGCAAUAUUUAUACAGAGAUUAAAGUAGUUCUUUCUUAAACAGAAACUAAGAGUCUUUUCACAAAAAAUGAAUACUGAAGAUAAUAUUUUGCUAUGCUUUUUUUCUAUCUUCUCACCAAUAAAGGAGCAAUAUUUUCAAUUUUAUCAGCUUCCAUCAAUUGUUUCCUCAAAAUCAGAACAGAAUAUGGCAAGUGGCCAUUUGAUUAUUAGUCUAGCCUAAUUCCUAGAAGAAUAAGAUAAUUAAACAAGAUUAUCAAAGCAUAAAGUUUGCAGGUCUUAUACUAAAAGAAAUCAACCAAGAGAGUAAACAUUAGCUCAAUUAAGUAAUUGUUGGAACAAUGGGUUAUUUACAUUAUAUAUAAUUUGAAUGUUGCAUCGAUGAUUUGCUUAUGCUAAUAAGAUGACAUUUAUGAUUUAUGAAACAAAAGGGAAAAUUUUUAAUCAAGAAACUUGCUGUGUUCUUGAUACUCUUGCAAGAAGCCCUGACUCCAGGAAACCCAAAUUCUUUUAAGCCUUCCUAAUACGAAACCACGAGGCAUACAUAUUAGCAAGAAAUAGGAAAUUUCACCUUGAAUCUCAUAAUAUUACAGUUGUCCCUUAGCAUCCACAGGGACUUGGUUCUAGGACCCCCCACAGAUGCCAAAAUCCGAGGAUGCUCAUAUGAAAUAGCUUAGUACAGUUGAGCCUCUGAUUGGUGGGUUCCACAUCUGUGGAUACAGAGGGCCUACUGUCCAUCUUUUAAACAUUGUAUUAUUUUUAAUAGAUAAUGCAUGCACCUAUUGCAAAUUAUAAAAUGCUUAAAAGGAUUUCCAUGGAAACUAAAUAUUCUUCUUUUCUCUGUUCUCAAUAACCCUGUCUACCCUCCCCUGGGUAAAUUUUGUUACAUAUUUCUUGGGUAUACUUCUAAGAGAAGGCAAGAAGGCAAGAUAACAUAUAUACAUGCACACACACACAUCUUCAGGGUUCUCAUUUCUAAAUCCAUGAUAUUAUAAGUGAAAAAUGACUCCAACUCAAGGAACAUUUAAAAUUCGCAAGUGUUUACAUUUGGGUACAGAAAUAUUUACCAACAUUGACCUAAACUAUAAUCUUAAAAGAAGGUCUUUUCUAAACAGCAGUUUGAAAGUAUAUUAAGUUUUCAUAGCUAUCUGAACAUCAAUAUUUGAAUUUUCAAUGUAAAGGAAAAUGUUAUGCUAUAGAAAGUAUAGAAAAUAAUAAAAGGCACACAUCAUCUAUUUAUCAUACUUGAUAUGGGGAGAAAGGAUACUUGUUUUGCAAAGACCAAGAGGAUACACGAAGCAAAGAAAACUGCAAAGCUACGCAUUGCCAGAAAGACACAGGUGUACACCACAUGAGGAUCUGAAACAAGCCAGCUGUAAUGGGUGUGCUGACAGCUCCAAGUCCACACUGUGUUUCUCCCAAAGUGCACUGGUGUGUUUGUUAUGUGUUACUUUACUUUUUUUAAUACAGUUUUAGAAAUUCUUAAGCCCACCCCCAAGCACAGUGGCAAAGAUCUAGGAGUGAAGAUAAACAUGCCUGGAAAUAGUUUUUGUCAGUGAGUCUCUUACUCAGACUCAUGUUGAUCUUAGGGAAGCAAUACCCCACUUAGACCCAUGUCUCUCUGGGUGAUACCACUGAGUUCAAUUCCACAUCUCAUGCAGAUGAGGCAUUGUCUGCAUAAAGCAUAUGCAAGAGGUAUGUUUAAACUUCACAACAAUUCUAUAAGCAGUGUUUCCCAUCUUACCUUAUCAUAUACUCGACAGGAGAGUAUUCAUUAAAAAUAUAGAUUCCUGGACCACAUGCAGUCCUACAGAACUAGUCUUUAUGGGCAGUCUGUGAAUAAGCAAUUUUUAAAGAAACCCCACAAGAUUUUUUAAGAUCAGAUAAGGAGGAAAAUGCUUCUGAAGGUAGGAAUUAUAUCCAUCUUAUCAAGGAGGAAACUGAGGCUCAGUUAAGUAACUUGUAACAACAAAUUAGUUUUGGAGAUGUGGUAUAUAUACACAAUGGAAUACUACUCAGCCAUAAAAAAGAACAAAAUACUGCCAUUUACAGCUACAUGGAUGGAACUAGAGACUCUCACACUGGGGGAAGUCAGAAAGAGAAAGACAGAUGCCACAUGAUAUCACUUAUAUCUGGAAUCUAAUAUACAGCACAAAUGAGCCUUUCCACAGAAAAGAAAAUCAUGGACUUGGAGAACAGAAUUGAGGUUGCCGAGGGGGAGGGAGUAGGAUGGAUUGGGAGCUUGGGGUUAAUAGAUGCAGACUAUUGCCUUUGGAAUGGAUUAGCAAUCAGAUCCUGCUGUGUAGCACUGGGAACUAUGUCUAGUGACUUAUGAUGGAGCAUGAUAAUGUGAGAAAAAAGAAUGUACACUUGUAUGUGUAACUGGGUCACCAUGCUGUAGAGUAAAAAAAAAAAAA